CUAGCCUUGGGCAAUUGGAGCUCCUAUUACACAGGGAAACUUACUAAUGAGCUUCUUUCUUUCUUUUUUUUCUUUUUUUUUUUUUUUUUUUUUUUUUUUUUUUGGUACCGUGGAUAGAACUCUGGCUCUCACACUGGCAAGGCGGGCGGCGGAACCACCGAGCCAAAUCCCCGGCCCUCUAAUGAGCUUCUUUGACUGUUGGGGAAUGUGGAAUUUACAUUCAGAGCAUGAUAAGAUUUGGUAUAUGCUCGAACCUUGGAUCAUUGCUUGAAUAUUAUUCUUGACAUGACAGAGUUCUCUUUGAAAUGGCAAAUGCCAUUGUCUUACCUCUUGCCUAUCUACUAAGGACCUGGGAC
RNAcentral lists this long non-coding RNA (356 nucleotides) under Fukomys damarensis (Damara mole-rat). RNAcentral's name for it is "lncRNA (ENSFDAG00000024305.1)". Lineage: Eukaryota; Metazoa; Chordata; Mammalia; Rodentia; Bathyergidae. The record is from RNAcentral.